RNAcentral lists this unclassified non-coding RNA (236 nucleotides) under uncultured fungus. Its description in RNAcentral is "partial contains 18S rRNA, ITS1, 5.8S rRNA, ITS2 and 28S rRNA". Lineage: Eukaryota; Fungi. The record is from RNAcentral.
AAGGAUCAUUACAAAUCCAUCACGUCUCCUCAUCCGAGACCACGUUGAAAUGUUCCCCAGGCCGGCAACAUAUAUGUAUAUGUGUGUUGCCUGCCUGGGCUGUUAAACAACUAGUGUUUCCUGUUGCUCAAUUGUAUACGUAUGUCUGCUUGCAGGUGCGCAUCUACCCGAUGACGCUUGACGGCAACAACGACAACAAACAAGUACAACUUAUAACAAUGGAUCUCUAGGCUCUU